This 75-nucleotide transfer RNA is filed under the name Candidatus Cloacimonadota bacterium. Its description in RNAcentral is "tRNA-Pro". It matches the Rfam family "tRNA". From Rfam's summary of the family: Transfer RNA (tRNA) molecules are approximately 80 nucleotides in length. Their secondary structure includes four short double-helical elements and three loops (D, anti-codon, and T loops). The record is from RNAcentral. Lineage: Bacteria; Pseudomonadati; Candidatus Cloacimonadota.
CGGGGCGUAGCGCAGCCCGGUUAGCGCGCCUGCUUUGGGAGCAGGAGGUCGUCGGUUCGAAUCCGACCGCCCCGA